AACGCUAGCUACAGGCUUAACACAUGCAAGUCGAGGGGUAACAAGAGAAAAGCUUGCUUUUCUUGUUGACGACCGGCGCACGGGUGAGUAACGCGUAUCCAACCUGCCUAUAACUAGGGAAUAACCUUGCGAAAGUAAGACUAAUACCCUAUGAUUUCCUUUGAUGGCAUCAGAUUAGGAAUAAAGAUUUAUCGGUUAUAGAUGGGGAUGCGUCUGAUUAGCUUGUUGGCGGGGUAACGGCCCACCAAGGCAACGAUCAGUAGGGGUUCUGAGAGGAAGGUCCCCCACAUUGGAACUGAGACACGGUCCAAACUCCUACGGGAGGCAGCAGUGAGGAAUAUUGGUCAAUGGGCGAGAGCCUGAACCAGCCAAGUAGCGUGCAGGAUGACGGCCCUAUGGGUUGUAAACUGCUUUUAUACAGGAAUAAAGUUAGCCACGUGUGGCUAUUUGUAGGUACUGUAUGAAUAAGGACCGGCUAAUUCCGUGCCAGCAGCCGCGGUAAUACGGAAGGUCCAGGCGUUAUCCGGAUUUAUUGGGUUUAAAGGGAGCGUAGGCCGUCUGUUAAGCGUGUUGUGAAAUGUAGAUGCUCAACAUCUGAAUUGCAGCGCGAACUGGCAGACUUGAGUGUGCGCAACGUAGGCGGAAUUCGUGGUGUAGCGGUGAAAUGCUUAGAUAUCACGAAGAACUCCAAUUGCGAAGGCAGCUUACGGGAGCACAACUGACGCUGAAGCUCGAAAGUGCGGGUAUCGAACAGGAUUAGAUACCCUGGUAGUCCGCACGGUAAACGAUGGAUGCUCGCUGUGGGCGACAAACAGUCCGCGGCCAAGCGAAAGCGUUAAGCAUCCCACCUGGGGAGUACGCCGGCAACGGUGAAACUCAAAGGAAUUGACGGGGGCCCGCACAAGCGGAGGAACAUGUGGUUUAAUUCGAUGAUACGCGAGGAACCUUACCCGGGCUUGAACUGCAGAGGAAGGUCACAGAGAUGUGUCCGCCCUUCGGGGUCUCUGCGGAGGUGCUGCAUGGUUGUCGUCAGCUCGUGCCGUGAGGUGUCGGCUUAAGUGC
Molecule: ribosomal RNA, 1062 nt
Filed under: uncultured Bacteroidales bacterium
Lineage: Bacteria; Pseudomonadati; Bacteroidota; Bacteroidia; Bacteroidales
Description: bacterial SSU rRNA
Rfam family: Bacterial small subunit ribosomal RNA
Source: RNAcentral